This 300-nucleotide long non-coding RNA is filed under the name Brassica rapa (field mustard). RNAcentral describes it as "long non-coding RNA (BRAP_LNC002945)". Lineage: Eukaryota; Viridiplantae; Streptophyta; Magnoliopsida; Brassicales; Brassicaceae. The record is from RNAcentral.
ACCCAUAUUUAUUGUUUGUUAAUUUGAACGACUUUCAAUUAAAAUUUGUAAAAUAUAUAUUGCUGGUGACCUAUCAUUGAAAGAACUACUAAAAAGUGAAAACUAUUGUAUUGCUCAUUGGAAUCUAGGUGGGAGUCGUUGAACCAUCGCUUUGCUCAUUGUCCCGUUCUGUUUCUUCUACACUUAUAGGAUUAUUAGGAUGCUACGUUUUGUUUUGUUUUUCUUUUCUUGUGACACGUUCUUUAACUUUUCUACUCAUUCCUAGUGUUUAAUUACUUCUAACGUAUUCUAUAAAAAAAC